GCGUUUCAAGUUUAUAUUAUGAAUUAGUGACAAUUUGGUUAAAAACAAGCUACUGAAAAUACUUUUAUAUGGAUGCAUUUUAGCGUAUUAAGUGCUGUUUAUACCAAAAGGACAUUAUGGAAUCAUUUUAUGAAAAUUUUCAAGCUUGGAUUUAGUUGUUAGAAUACCAUACUUCUUUUUAAACAAGUGUCCCAGAGUGUCUAGGAUUACAAGCCGUGGUUACCAGUACAUCAUCUAAGUCAAGCAUCACUAGCAGCAUGCAGAAUAAACAAACGAUGGUAAUGUUGGAAAUUAAAGAAUAAGGAAAUGCUGCCAAAAAUUACGAUUGUAAAACGUAAAAUGCUGCGAAAAAUGGCACAUUUUUCCUACUACGUUCCGCAUACUUGAAAACUAGAGUUGUGCUACAUAAAACGAUUGCUAAUAUCCGAAAGGUACCUUAAAACUUUGAAGUAGAGAUUUGCUUUUUAAAGACCAUUUGUUUUCAUAGUGCAUUACACACAGAUGAAAAAUGUGUCGUCAAAACUACUAGAAUAUUGUAAAAUGGGUAAUGCUUUUUGUAAAAUUAACAAUAAAAUACUGU
This is a long non-coding RNA of Parasteatoda tepidariorum (common house spider), 580 nucleotides long. RefSeq lists it as uncharacterized. NCBI's taxonomy places the organism in Eukaryota, Metazoa, Arthropoda, Arachnida, Araneae, Theridiidae. The record is from RefSeq and is a predicted model, not a curated record.